CAGGUACUGGGGAUACUGGGGAUACUGGGAUAUACUGGGAUGGAAACAGUGCGGGACGUCAGGUACUGGGGAUACUGGGGAUACUGGGGAUACUGGGAUGGACUGGGGAUACUGGGAUGGAAACAGUGCGGGACGUCAGGUACUGGGAGGGACUGGGAUAUACUGGGAGGGACUGGGAGGGACGUCAGGUACUGGGAUGGACUGGGAUGGACUGGGAUAUACUGGGAGGGACUGGGAUGGACUGGGGAUACUGGGAUGGAGACCGUGCGGGACGUCAGGUACUGGGGAGACUGGGAGGGACUGGGGAUACUGGGAUGGACUGGGGAUACUGGGAUGGACUGGGAUAUACUGGGAUAUACUGGGGAUACUGGGAUGGACUGGGAUGGAAACAGUGCGGGACGUCAGGUACUGGGAUGGACUGGGGAUACUGGGAUAUACUGGGAUGGAGACAGUGCGGGACGUCAGGUACUGGGAUGGACUGGGAUGGACUGGGAGGGACUGGGAGGGACGUCAGGUACUGGGAUGGACUGGGGAUACUGGGAUGGACUGGGGGAUACUGGGGAUACUGGGAUAUACUGGGGGAUACUGGGAUGGAGACAGUGCGGGACGUCAGGUACUGGGAUACUGGGGAUACUGGGAUAUACUGGGGAUACUGGGAUGGGAACUGUGAGGGACGUCAGGUACUGGGGAUACUGGGAUAUACUGGGAUGGAGACAGUGCAGGACGUCAGGUACUGGGACACUGGGAGGGACUGGGAUAGACUGGGGAUACUGGGAUGGACUGGGGGAUACUGGGGAUACUGGGAUGGACUGGGAUAUACUGGGAUGGACUGGGGGAUACUGGGAUAUACUGGGAUAUACUGGGAUGGACUGGGGAUACUGGGAUGGACUGGGAUGGAAACCGUGAGGGACGUCAGGUACUGGGAUGGACUGGGGAUACUGGGAUGGACUGGGGAUACUGGGGAUGCUGGGAUGGAAACAGUGCGGGACGUCAGGUACUGGGAUGGACUGGGAUAUACUGGGAUAUACUGGGAUAUACUGGGAUGGAAACAGUGCGGGACGUCAGGUACUGGGAUGGACUGGAGAUACUGGGAUGUACUGGGGAUACUGGGAGGGACUGGGAUGGAAACAGUGCGGGACGUCAGGUACUGGGGUGGACUGGGAUGGACUGGGGAUACUGGGGGGUACUGGGGGAUACUGGGAUGGAAACCGUGCGGGACGUCAGGUACUGGGGAUACUGGCAUGGACUGGGGGAUACUGGGAUAUACUGGGGAUACUGGGGAUACUGGGGGAUACUGGGAUAUACUGGGAUGGAAACCAUGAGGGACGUCAGGUACUGGGCAUACUGGGAUAUACUGGGGGAUACUGGGAUAUACUGGGAUAUACUGGGAGGGACUGGGGGGAACUGGGAAUGGGACUGGAAGGGACUGGGAUAUACUGGGAAUGGGACUGGGAUGGACUGGGAAUGGAUUGGGAGGGACUGGGAUGGACUGGGAAUGGAAUGGGAUAU
Molecule: long non-coding RNA, 1509 nt
Filed under: Zonotrichia albicollis (white-throated sparrow)
Lineage: Eukaryota; Metazoa; Chordata; Aves; Passeriformes; Passerellidae
Description: lncRNA (ENSZALG00000002132.1)
Source: RNAcentral